RNAcentral lists this ribosomal RNA (453 nucleotides) under uncultured Porphyromonadaceae bacterium. RNAcentral's name for it is "partial 16S ribosomal RNA". It matches the Rfam family "Bacterial small subunit ribosomal RNA", at positions 341 to 792 of the family's 1533-position model. The record is from RNAcentral. Lineage: Bacteria; Pseudomonadati; Bacteroidota; Bacteroidia; Bacteroidales; Porphyromonadaceae.
ACGGGAGGCAGCAGUGAGGAAUAUUGGUCAGUGGGCGGAAGCCUGAACCAGCCAAGUCGCGUGAAGGAUGAAGGUAUUAUGUAUUGUAAACUUCUUUAGCAGUGGAGUAAUAAGGGGAUCGUGAUCCCUGAUGCAAGUACACUGAAAAUAAGGAUCGGCUAACUCCGUGCCAGCAGCCGCGGUAAUACGGAGGAUCCGAGCGUUAUCCGGAUUUAUUGGGUUUAAAGGGUGCGCAGGCGGCUUUUUAAGUCAGCGGUAAAAUCGUGGGGCCCAACCCCAUCCUGCCGUUGAUACUGGAGAGCUUGAUUGCGGUUGAGGUUGGCGGAAUUCGUCGUGUAGCGGUGAAGUGCAUAGAUAUGACGAAGAACUCCGAUUGCGUAGGCAGCUGACCAAGCCGUAAAUGACGCUCAUGCACGAAAGUGCGGGGAUCGAACAGGAUUAGAUACCCUGGUA